UACAGAGGGUGCGAGCGUUAAUCGGAAUUACUGGGCGUAAAGCGUGCGUAGACGGUUAUCUAAGUCGGAUGUGAAAUCCCCGGGCUCAACCUGGGAAUUGCAUUCGAUACUGGAUAGCUAGAGUUCGGCAGAGGGAAGUGGAAUUUCGGGUGUAGCGGUGAAAUGCGUAGAUAUCCGAAGGAACAUCAGUGGCGAAAGCGACUUCCUGGACCAGAACUGACGAUCAGGCACGAAAGCGUGGGGAGCAAACAGG
RNAcentral lists this ribosomal RNA (253 nucleotides) under uncultured bacterium. RNAcentral describes it as "partial 16S ribosomal RNA". It matches the Rfam family "Bacterial small subunit ribosomal RNA", at positions 524 to 776 of the family's 1533-position model. The record is from RNAcentral.